GACGAACCGUGCAAACGUUGUUCGGAUUCACUGGGCUUAAAGGGCGCGUAGGCGGACCCAAAAGUCCGGGGUGAAAUCUUUCGGCUUAACCGGAAAAUUGCCUUGGAUACUGUGGGUCUCGAGGGAGGUAGGGGCAUGCGGAACUUCCGGUGGAGCGGUGAAAUGCGUUGAUAUCGGAAGGAACUCCGGUGGCGAAAGCGGCGUGCUGGAUCUCUACUGACGCUGAGGCGCGCAAGCCAGGGGAGCAAACGGG
This 253-nucleotide ribosomal RNA is filed under the name uncultured bacterium. Its description in RNAcentral is "partial 16S ribosomal RNA". It matches the Rfam family "Bacterial small subunit ribosomal RNA", at positions 524 to 776 of the family's 1533-position model. The record is from RNAcentral.